GGAGAGAUGCUCGAGUGGUUUAAGAGGCAUGCCUGGAACGCAUGUAUAGGAGAAAUUCUAUCGAGGGUUCGAAUCCCUCUCUUUCCG
This 87-nucleotide transfer RNA is filed under the name Candidatus Arthromitus sp. SFB-mouse-Japan. Its description in RNAcentral is "tRNA-Ser". It matches the Rfam family "tRNA". Rfam says of the family: Transfer RNA (tRNA) molecules are approximately 80 nucleotides in length. Their secondary structure includes four short double-helical elements and three loops (D, anti-codon, and T loops). Further hydrogen bonds mediate the characteristic L-shaped molecular structure. tRNAs have two regions of fundamental functional importance: the anti-codon, which is responsible for specific mRNA codon recognition, and the 3' end, to which the tRNAs corresponding amino acid is attached (by aminoacyl-tRNA synthetases). tRNAs cope with the degeneracy of the genetic code in two manners: having more than one tRNA (with a specific anti-codon) for a particular amino acid; and 'wobble' base-pairing, i.e. permitting non-standard base-pairing at the 3rd anti-codon position. The record is from RNAcentral. RNAcentral also lists the same sequence under 5 other names. Lineage: Bacteria; Bacillati; Bacillota; Clostridia; Eubacteriales; Clostridiaceae.